This 1135-nucleotide ribosomal RNA is filed under the name Selaginella delicatula. Its description in RNAcentral is "partial large subunit ribosomal RNA". It matches the Rfam family "Eukaryotic large subunit ribosomal RNA", at positions 47 to 1172 of the family's 3401-position model. Lineage: Eukaryota; Viridiplantae; Streptophyta; Lycopodiopsida; Selaginellales; Selaginellaceae. The record is from RNAcentral.
UAAGCGGAGGAAAGAAACUAACAAGGAUUUCCCUAGUAACGGCGAGCGAACGGGAAGAAGCCCAGCUUGAAAAUCGGGGGGACUUCGGCCUCUUCGAAUUGUAGUCUGGAGAAGGGUCCUCUGCAGCGGACCAGGCUAAGGUUCCCUGGAAUGGGAUGCCAGAGAGGGUGAGAGCCCCGUCUAGCCCGGACCCUGUUGCUCCACGAGGCUCUGUCUAAGAGUCGGGUUGCUUGGGAAUGCAGCCUUAAGCCGGUGGUAAGUUCCAUCGAAGGCUAAAUACUCACGAGAGACCGAUAGCGCACAAGUACCGCGAGGGAAAGAUGAAAAGGACUUUGAAAAGAGAGUCAAAAAGUGCUUGAAAUUGUUGGGAGGAAAGCGAAUGGAUGCCUUAGUUGCCUGCUGGCUGUGUGUGGAACGGUCCUUUAAGGGCUGGUCUGCCAAUUGGCUCAGCGGGUUCUCCAGCAUGGGAGCUGGCGGUGGUAUCAAUGGCUCGGCGGCUUGCGCCUCCUGCUUAUGCUGCCGCCGUCUCCUGUGUGCAGGUGUGCGCCGGUCUCCGGCAGGGCUUUUUGCCCUUGCACUCCUCCGAUGCUGGUGCUCUGGGCGUUCCAUUCGACCCGUCUUGAAACACGGACCAAGGAGUCUAACAUGUAUGCGAGCCUGCGGGUGAUAGACCUUGCUAGGCGAAAGGAAACUGAUCUGUGGGAUCCCCAAUCGGGGUGCACCAUUGACCGACCUUGAUCUUCUGUGAAAGGUUCGAGUGAUAGUAUACCUGUUAGGACCCGAAAGAUGGUGAACUAUGCCUGAGCAGGGCGAAGCCAGAGGAAACUCUGGUGGAGGCUCGUAGCGAUACUGACGUGCAAAUCGUUCGUUGGACUUGGGUAUAGGGGCGAAAGACUAAUCGAACCAUCUAGUAGCUGGUUCCGGCUGAAGUUUCCCUCAGGAUAGCUGGAGCUCAUUUCGAGUUUUAUCGGGUAAAGCGAAUGAUUAGAGGCCUCGGGGGUGAAACACCCUCGACCUAUUCUCAAACUUUAAAUAGGUAAAGUGUCAGGGUUGCUCUGGUGAACCCUGGCCUUGAAUCCGAGCUCCAAGUGGGCCAUUUUUGGUAAGCAGAACUGGCGAUGCGGGAUGAACCGAA